AUGGUGCUCUCCUGGAUUUAUGGCUUGAUUUCCAUCGAGCUGUUCGGCAUCAUCAUGGCUCCAGGCUCCAUGGUGCGGCAGGUGUGGGACUCCAUCGCCAACCUCUUCCACGACAACAAGAAAAGCCGCGCCCUCGCCCUCGACGCCGAGUUCCGCAACACACCGCAAGGAGACAUGUUCGUCCAUGACUACCGCGCCAAGCUCAAGUCUCUCUCCGAUGCUCUCAGUGAUGUCGGCAUAACCAUCUCUGAUGAGACGCUUGUCCUAACGAUGCUCCACGGCCUCAACGAGCAAUUCAGCCACCUACGGUCCUUUCUUCCAUUUUAG
Molecule: ribosomal RNA, 327 nt
Filed under: Triticum aestivum (bread wheat)
Lineage: Eukaryota; Viridiplantae; Streptophyta; Magnoliopsida; Poales; Poaceae
Description: partial small subunit ribosomal RNA
Source: RNAcentral